UUAUGAUAGAGGUGCGAAUACUAUCAGUAAUGUGUGACGAGGGCUUUCGCAAAGCUAUGGCACAAAUGAAAGGAGUAUUUGCCGAAGAAACCGAGGCGAAAGGUUUUCUGGGAGUGCGGACAAUAUCCGUUCUACUGUCGCAGAUGCGGAGUGCUAUCUU
This 160-nucleotide non-coding RNA is filed under the name bovine gut metagenome. Its description in RNAcentral is "Lysine riboswitch". It matches the Rfam family "Lysine riboswitch aptamer". Rfam says of the family: Riboswitches are metabolite binding domains within certain messenger RNAs that serve as precision sensors for their corresponding targets. Allosteric rearrangement of mRNA structure is mediated by ligand binding, and this results in modulation of gene expression. The record is from RNAcentral.